RNAcentral lists this ribosomal RNA (490 nucleotides) under uncultured bacterium. Its description in RNAcentral is "partial 16S ribosomal RNA". It matches the Rfam family "Bacterial small subunit ribosomal RNA", at positions 30 to 507 of the family's 1533-position model. The record is from RNAcentral.
AUUGAACGCUGGCGGCAGGCCUAACACAUGCAAGUCGAACGGUAACAGGAAGAAGCUUGCUUCUUUGCUGACGAGUGGCGGACGGGUGAGUAAUGUCUGGGAAACUGCCUGAUGGAGGGGGAUAACUACUGGAAACGGUAGCUAAUACCACAUAACGUCGCAAGACCAAAGAGGGGGACCUUCGGGCCUCUUGCCAUCGGAUGUGCCCAGAUGGGAUUAGCUAGUAGGUGGGGUAACGGCUCACCUAGGCGACGAUCCCUAGCUGGUCUGAGAGGAUGACCAGCCACACUGGAACUGAGACACGGUCCAGACUCCUACGGGAGGCAGCAGUGGGGAAUAUUGCACAAUGGGCGCAAGCCUGAUGCAGCCAUGCCGCGUGUAUGAAGAAGGCCUUCGGGUUGUAAAGUACUUUCAGCGGGGAGGAAGGGAGUAAAGUUAAUACCUUUGCUCAUUGACGUUACCCGCAGAAGAAGCACCGGCUAACUCCGUG